UAGAGAAUCUUCGGCAAUGGGGGCAACCCUGACCGAGCAACGCCGCGUGAGUGAAGAAGGUUUUCGGAUCGUAAAGCUCUGUUGUAAGAGAAGAACGAGUGUGAGAGUGGAAAGUUCACACUGUGACGGUAACUUACCAGAAAGGGACGGCUAACUACGUGCCAGCAGCCGCGGUAAUACGUAGGUCCCGAGCGUUAUCCGGAUUUAUUGGGCGUAAAGCGAGCGCAGGCGGUUAGAUAAGUCUGAAGUUAAAGGCUGUGGCUUAACCAUAGUACGCUUUGGAAACUGUUUAACUUGAGUGCAGAAGGGGAGAGUGGAAUUCCAUGUGUAGCGGUGAAAUGCGUAGAUAUAUGGAGGAACACCGGUGGCGAAAGCGGCUCUCUGGUCUGUAACUGACGCUGAGGCUCGAAAGCGUGGGGAGCAAACAGGAUUAGAUACCCUGGUAGUCCACGCCGUAAACGAUGAGUGCUAGGUGUUGGGUCCUUUCCGGGACUCAGUGCCGCAGCUAACGCAUUAAGCACUCCGCCUGGGGAGUACGACCGCAAGGUUG
This 550-nucleotide ribosomal RNA is filed under the name uncultured bacterium. Its description in RNAcentral is "bacterial SSU rRNA". It matches the Rfam family "Bacterial small subunit ribosomal RNA", at positions 355 to 896 of the family's 1533-position model. The record is from RNAcentral.